CCUACGGGGGGCAGCAGUGAGGAAUAUUGGUCAAUGGACGAGAGUCUGAACCAGCCAAGUAGCGUGAAGGAGGACUGCUCUAUGGGUUGUAAACUUCUUUUAUAAAGGAAUAAAACGAGGCACGUGUGCCUUUUUGCAUGUACUUUAUGAAUAAGGAUCGGCUAACUCCGGCCCAGCAGCCGCGGUAAUACGGGGGAUCCGAGCGUUAUCCGGAUUUUUUGGGUUUAAAGGGAGCGUAGAUGGAUUGUUAAGUCAGUUGUGAAAGUCUGCGGCUCAACCGUAAAAUUGCAAUUGAUACUGGCAGUCUUGAGUACAGUUGAGGUAGGCGGAAUUCGUGGUGUAGCGGUGAAAUGCUUAGAUAUCACGAAGAACCCCGAUUGCGAAGGCAGCUUACUAAACUGUGACUGACAUUGAUGCUCGAAAGUGUGGGUAUCAAACAGGAUUAGAUACCCGGGUAGUC
Molecule: ribosomal RNA, 460 nt
Filed under: uncultured bacterium
Lineage: Bacteria
Description: partial 16S ribosomal RNA
Rfam family: Bacterial small subunit ribosomal RNA
Source: RNAcentral